RNAcentral lists this ribosomal RNA (208 nucleotides) under uncultured bacterium. RNAcentral describes it as "partial 16S ribosomal RNA". It matches the Rfam family "Bacterial small subunit ribosomal RNA", at positions 568 to 775 of the family's 1533-position model. The record is from RNAcentral.
CGUGUAGGCGGCUUGGUAAGUCCGGUGUGAAACCUUGGGGCUCAACCCCAAGCCUGCACUGGAUACUGCCUCGCUUGAGUCCGGGAGGGGAGAGCGGAAUUCCUAGUGUAGCGGUGAAAUGCGCAGAUAUUAGGAAGAACACCGGUGGCGAAGGCGGCUCUCUGGAACGGUACUGACGCUGAGACGCGAAAGCGUGGGGAGCGAACAG